This 367-nucleotide ribosomal RNA is filed under the name uncultured bacterium. RNAcentral describes it as "bacterial SSU rRNA". It matches the Rfam family "Bacterial small subunit ribosomal RNA", at positions 527 to 896 of the family's 1533-position model. The record is from RNAcentral.
GAAGGUGGCAAGCGUUGUUCGGAUUCACUGGGCGUACAGGGAGCGUAGGCGGUUGGGUAAGCCCUCCGUGAAAUCUCCGGGCCUAACCCGGAAAGUGCAGAGGGGACUGCUCAGCUAGAGGAUGGGAGAGGAGCGCGGAAUUCCCGGUGUAGCGGUGAAAUGCGUAGAGAUCGGGAGGAAGGCCGGUGGCGAAGGCGGCGCUCUGGAACAUUUCUGACGCUGAGGCUCGAAAGCGUGGGGAGCAAACAGGAUUAGAUACCCUGGUAGUCCACGCCUUAAACUAUGGAUACUAAGUGUCGGCGGUUUACCGCCGGUGCCGCAGCUAACGCAAUAAGUAUCCCGCCUGGGAAGUACGAUCGCAAGGUUG